GGAUGCUUACCCAAGUGGUUGAAGGGUUCAGUCUUGAAAACUGAGAGGUGGGGCAACCCGCGCAGAGGUUCGAAUCCUCUAGCAUCCGCCA
Molecule: transfer RNA, 91 nt
Filed under: Mycoplasmoidaceae bacterium
Lineage: Bacteria; Bacillati; Mycoplasmatota; Mycoplasmoidales; Mycoplasmoidaceae
Description: tRNA-Ser
Rfam family: tRNA
About the family: Transfer RNA (tRNA) molecules are approximately 80 nucleotides in length. Their secondary structure includes four short double-helical elements and three loops (D, anti-codon, and T loops).
Source: RNAcentral